UCAGGACGAACGCUGGCGGCACGCUUAACACAUGCAAGUCGAACGAGAGAAGAGAAGCUUGCUUUUCUGAUCUAGUGGCGGACGGGUGAGUAACACGUGAGCAAUCUGCCUUUCAGAGGGGGAUACCGAUUGGAAACGAUCGUUAAUACCGCAUAAUAUAAUUGAACCGCAUGAUUUGAUUAUCAAAGAUUUAUCGCUGAAAGAUGAGCUCGCGUCUGAUUAGCUAGUUGGUAAGGUAACGGCUUACCAAGGCGACGAUCAGUAGCCGGACUGAGAGGUUGAUCGGCCACAUUGGGACUGAGACACGGCCCAGACUCCUACGGGAGGCAGCAGUGGGGAAUAUUGCACAAUGGAGGAAACUCUGAUGCAGCGAUGCCGCGUGAGGGAAGAAGGUUUUAGGAUUGUAAACCUCUGUCUUCAGGGACGAAAAAAGACGGUACCUGAGGAGGAAGCUCCGGCUAACUACGUGCCAGCAGCCGCGGUAAUACGUAGGGAGCGAGCGUUGUCCGGAAUUACUGGGUGGUAAAGGGAGCGUAAGCGGGAUCGCAAGUCAGAUGUGAAAACUAUGGGCUUAACCCAUAAACUGCAUUUGAAACUGUGGUUCUUGAGUGAAGUAGAGGUAAGCGGAAUUCCUAGUGGUAGCGGUGAAAUGCGUAGAUAUUAGGAGGAACAUCAGUGGCGAAGGGGGGCUUACUGGGCUUUAACUGACGCUGAGGCUGGAAAGCGUGGGGAGCAAACAGGAUUAGAUACCCUGGUAGUCCACGCCGUAAACGAUGAUUACUAGGUGUGGGGGGACUGACCCCUUCCGUGCCGCAGCAAACGCAAUAAGUAAUCCACCUGGGGAGUACGACCGCAAGGUUGAAACUCAAAGGAAUUGACGGGGGCCCGCACAAGCAGUGGAGUAUGUGGAUCAAUUCGAAGCAACGCGAAGAACCUUACCAGGUCUUGACAUCGUAUGCAUAGCUCAGAGAUGAGUGAAAUCUCUUCGGAGACAUAUAGACAGGUGGUGCAUGGUUGUCGUCAGCUCGUGUCGUGAGAUGUUGGGUUAAGUCCCGCAACGAGCGCAACCCUUACUGUUAGUUGCUACGCAAGAGCACUCUAGCAGGACUGCCGUUGACAAAACGGAGGAAGGUGGGGAUGACGUCAAAUCAUCAUGCCCCUUAUGACCUGGGCCUCACACGUACUACAAUGGCUGUCAACAGAGGGAUGCAAAGCCGCGAGGUGGAGCGAACCCCUAAAAGCAGUCUUAGUUCGGAUUGUAGGCUGCAACCCGCCUACAUGAAGUCGGAAUUGCUAGUAAUCGCAGAUCAGCAUGCUGCGGUGAAUACGUUCCCGGGCCUUGUACACACCGCCCGUCACGCCAUGGGAGUCGGUAACACCCGAAGCCUGUAGUCUAACCGCAAGGAGGACGCAGUCGAAGGU
Molecule: ribosomal RNA, 1422 nt
Filed under: uncultured organism
Description: SSU rRNA
Rfam family: Bacterial small subunit ribosomal RNA
Source: RNAcentral